UCUGUUAUUCUGUUAUAACCACCGGCUUGGACUCCCGUCUCUCUUCCUUAUAGGCGACGGCGGUUGCUAGGCAGAGCGGCAGCGACGGGACGAACUUCUUGCGGCAUCCUCUGGUUUUCCGGCGUGGUCUUCUCCUCCGACCGAGGCGUAGCAGCCGCCGACCUCCUCACCCUCUCGUCUCUCUGUACCUCUCUCUCCAGCGUAGCGUGGGUUGUUUCUCCUUGAGCGACGAACGGAGCUACGGCAGUAGCGGAGGUGACGGCGGCGGCAGUGUCUUCCCCGGCGAAUCUUGGAACCGUAGCCUGACUGAGUACCUCACCCCGAUUCAACGAUCUCGGCUCACUCUGCUCACUGGACAGCCGUAGCUCCGGCAGCGACGGCAACGAUCUCGGCCCCGCAGCACACCGGCAGCGACCGCAACGGCAGACACGGCACGACUUCGGAGUGAACAGUGUUGGAUCUUCUGCGCAGCAACUUAAGUGUUUCUCUCUUUUGUCCUCCUCGUAGCAACAGAUUCUCUCCAUUCUCUGAGGUCAUCAUGUUGAGUUUUUGGUCAGAUCACCAAAAAGUCAUAGCGGAGAACAAAGAGCUGCACAAGGUGAAGGAAGAACUCCUUAAGGAGGUGAAGUAUCUUCAGGAGAAGCGAGAGCACCACGAAGGACUGGCGAAUGUGCUUGUGGCCCAUAAAGCAGAUGUGGAUGCUCUUGUGAUUAGCCAGCUGACAGAAAUCGAAAAACUUAAGCAGCUCCUCAAAAUACAAGAAGGCUAUCUUCAGCAGCAAAAGGAUACGUGGAAUGAACUGAAGGGCCUCCUUCAAAAGAGAAAUAAAGAAGUGGAUGAUGUGGUGGCCUUAGGCUUUUCUUGCCUACCAUCAUCAUCCACUGAUUAGGGUGAUUAGGUAUGAAGGGGUGUGACCUUCAUUUUUAUCAGUUUCUUCUUUCACUACUUGCAUUAAACUUUGUUGUUUUUUGUUGAAUGCAUGGAGAAGAAUAGAACCCCAGAAUCCAAAUAUCUUCUGAUUAGGGUGAUUAGGUAUGAAGGGGUGUGACCUUCAUUUUUAUCAGUUUCUUCUUUCACUACUUGCAUUAAACUUUGUUGUUUUUUGUUGAAUGCAUGGAGAAGAAUAGAACCCCAGAAUCCAAAUAUCUUCUAGCGUGAAGUUGCUUGCCUUA
Molecule: long non-coding RNA, 1172 nt
Organism: Ipomoea triloba (trilobed morning glory)
Lineage: Eukaryota; Viridiplantae; Streptophyta; Magnoliopsida; Solanales; Convolvulaceae
Exons: 3
Source: RefSeq, a predicted model, not a curated record